Molecule: long non-coding RNA, 1116 nt
Filed under: Nicotiana benthamiana
Lineage: Eukaryota; Viridiplantae; Streptophyta; Magnoliopsida; Solanales; Solanaceae
Description: long non-coding RNA (NBEN_LNC040684)
Source: RNAcentral
UACAGUAACUAGUCUACAAAUUUAUAAAGUCCAGUCCAAUUUAUUACAUAUCCCAGCACUGACUAAGGUACAAAAUAUAUGAACUAAAUUAGUGUCUAAACUCAAUUACAACAAAAGGAAAAGCAGAAAUUCCUAAGCUGCCACUACUUCAGCCUUGAAUGAACCAAGAUUUUCAUGAAUUUGACCAUGUGGCAAGGGUCAUAUUCACAAAGCAUCCUUCCGGUAGGGACCUACAAUGUUGCCAAGUUAGUCCUAAUACUAAAGUGAGUAAAGGAAGGAUAAUGAUGUCAACCGGUCUAACCAUGUUCAGGGUCACCCCUAUAGACAUGCAAAAGUCUCCAAACCAUGAUUUAAUCCAUGGUUCUCACUUCAGCAAGGAGAAAGUAGGAAAAGAGAAAAUAACUUAAACACAUACUGCAGAAAUCAAGACUAUUAUGCACUAUUAAGUGGGUAAAUCUGACCAUUUAAAGGGUCCGAUUCAGUUUCCCUUUUUGUGCUGCUACAAAAGGGGAAUUUUGGAUAUAGUUUUAUAGGUAUAUGCACUAAUUCAAGCCUCACACUACCAUGAAUAUGUUACCAACAACACUUAGUAGCCUUAAGAUGCAUGUUUAUAUUCAUACUUUAUACUCAAACAAACCAAAAUAUCAAGACAAAACUCUCAAACAAAGACAUAACAAAGGAAAGACACUAGUUUCAAGAAUAGCUGUUUAUUUCAUAAUCACUUACAACUUUACAUGAACACUAUAUCACAGCAAACACAUAAAGCAGAUAGGAUCGCAAAGGUGAAACCAAUCAAACAUAGGAGUCUGAGGUAUGUACCUUUAAUAGAAAAAUAGACAAUGAAAGCAAAAUCUCUUUGAAAAAUGGAUGUUAGCAACAUCAGCAACAGAACAAAAACAGCCUAGAGAUUCAAACCCAAAAACCAAAACCAGCUCAAAACCAAGAGAUCCAGCUAAAUAACUAGGAAAAAUCUUCUAUUGAAACCAUGUUCUCCACUUGUAUAGAAUCAGAAAAAUAAGAAAGUUUUUUCUUGAGAGUUCUUUUUUUUUUGAAAAAGAGAGAUACUUUUUGGAAUCUGAACUUUUCAGAGCAGGGAAUGUUUGUGCAGUAAUUUUU